Molecule: long non-coding RNA, 1171 nt
Organism: Hemicordylus capensis (graceful crag lizard)
Lineage: Eukaryota; Metazoa; Chordata; Lepidosauria; Squamata; Cordylidae
Exons: 3
Source: RefSeq, a predicted model, not a curated record
GACAUCGCUCUCUGUGACAUCGCUCUCUGUGACAUUACCAACUGCCCUCUCAACUGACUCAACUGCUCAGAAGUUUCUGGUGGGAGCAAAAGGGGUUGAUUUCUGCCAUUCCUGGAGCCGUUUCUAUCCCUGAAUGAGAGAGAGGAACUGGGAGAGGAGCUGCUUCCUUCUCGUCUCUGUUUUCCUCUGCCGGGGUUAGCAGAAAGGUUGAUCUCCAGAUGAUGCAGUUAAAGGCUUCAAGGACACCAGCAGGCCUUUCUCUCCUGGGCGCCGUCAGCAUCGAGCCAGCUGCAGGAUAAAGAUCAUGAUGGAAGGCAAAGGGGCUUCUCUUCUGUGCUGUGAACCAUUUCAUCAAGUGACCUGAUCUCCACUUGGCCUAGCAGCCUUCCCUGAGCUGGGCCUGUGCUGUGAGUUGCUGACUGAACAUUGCGUAACCUAGUGAAGGCAGGACACUGGGACUGUUAACAAGAAGUAAAAGUGCUGAGGAGGAAGAGUGGCAAUCGGAAAAGAAUGAAGGCAAGGAAAGCAAUGGCGAAUCCUGAGAGUGGCGUCUUCUAAUUCAUACUACAGUCCUAUAAGUGUUGAACCUCUUGAAUGUGUCUUUGCAGAAGAUGGAGAGGUAAGUCUGACUCCUGCCACAUCCAGAGGCCGGACUCUCAGAGCUACAUAGGAAAAGGCAGCAUUCCACAGAUAUCAAAGGUGUUGAAAAAGGAGCAUAUUUCCCCUCUGUUGCUGCUGCUGAGGGCAGCACUGAAGGGCUGCCAAUACGAGGACGCAGUUUUCGGCUAGGCAGUAGGAAUGCUUUCCCAAAUGGGAGAAGGGUUGCCAAGAUCACCUCAGGGAGUCCUGGGCUCCCCUUUGCUGAUGGUUUUCAGACAGAAGCCAGAUAACGAUGAUCUCCACGGAACCUUCCUGCUCUAAAAUGCCAUGAUUCUGCUGUGAUCCUCACAUUGAGCCUGUAAGGGAUCUGCAAGUGCCCCCCUGACACCCAGACUGCUUCUAUUUGCUCCCCAAGUUGACUGCAGUUAUGAGGAAGCAAAUUUAGGCUAAGCAUGGAGAAUAAUUUCCCACGGGAGAGAUGUCUUGCAGAGGCACACAGCCCUAGGCACACACAACCACCCCAUAUACGUAGUAUAGAGCCACAUGCGCGCACGCACACACCUGUGAACAC